RNAcentral lists this non-coding RNA (22 nucleotides) under Arabidopsis thaliana (thale cress). Lineage: Eukaryota; Viridiplantae; Streptophyta; Magnoliopsida; Brassicales; Brassicaceae. The record is from RNAcentral.
AUGCUCGUUUAUUCACACGUCA